GACGAACGCUGGCGGCGUGCUUAACACAUGCAAGUCGAGCGGAAAGGCCCUUCGGGGUACUCGAGCGGCGAACGGGUGAGUAACACGUGAGUAAUCUGCCCUUGGCUUUGGGAUAACUACCGGAAACGGUGGCUAAUACCGGAUACGACAACCGUCUGCAUGGGCUGGUUGUGGAAAGUUUUUUCGGCCAGGGAUGUGCUCGCGGCCUAUCAGCUUGUUGGUGGGGUAAUGGCCUACCAAGGCUUCGACGGGUAGCCGGCCUGAGAGGGUGACCGGCCACACGGGGACUGAGACACGGCCCAGACUCCUACGGGAGGCAGCAGUGGGGAAUAUUGGACAAUGGGCGGAAGCCUGAUCCAGCAACGCCGCGUGAGGGAUGACGGCCUUCGGGUUGUAAACCUCUUUCAGUACCGACGAAGCGCCGAUGAUGGUGGUGACGGUAGGUACAGAAGAAGCACCGGCCAACUACGUG
Molecule: ribosomal RNA, 472 nt
Filed under: uncultured bacterium
Lineage: Bacteria
Description: partial 16S ribosomal RNA
Rfam family: Bacterial small subunit ribosomal RNA
Source: RNAcentral